RNAcentral lists this ribosomal RNA (254 nucleotides) under uncultured bacterium. Its description in RNAcentral is "partial 16S ribosomal RNA". It matches the Rfam family "Bacterial small subunit ribosomal RNA", at positions 524 to 777 of the family's 1533-position model. The record is from RNAcentral.
UACGAAGGUGGCAAGCGUUGUUCGGAUUUACUGGGCGUACAGGGAGCGUAGGCGGUUGGAUAAGCCCUCCGUGAAAUCUCCAGGCUUAACCUGGAAAGUGCAGAGGGGACUGUUCAGCUAGAGGAUGGGAGAGGAGCGCGGAAUUCCCGGUGUAGCGGUGAAAUGCGUAGAGAUCGGGAGGAAGGCCGGUGGCGAAGGCGGCGCUCUGGAACAUUUCUGACGCUGAGGCUCGAAAGCGUGGGGAGCAAACAGGG